GUGAGGAAUAUUGCGCAAUGGAGGCAACUCUGACGCAGCCAUGCCGCGUGCAGGAAGAAGGCGCUACGCGUUGUAAACUGCUUUUAACCGGGAAGAAACCCCAGGACGUGUCCUGGGUUGACGGUACCGGAGGAAUAAGCACCGGCUAACUUCGUGCCAGCAGCCGCGGUAAUACGAAGGGUGCAAGCGUUAUCCGGAUUCAUUGGGUUUAAAGGGUGCGUAGGCGGAGCGUUAAGUCAGUGGUGAAAUCCUGCAGCUUAACUGUAGACUUGCCAUUGAUACUGGCGCUCUUGAGUGCGCUUGAAGUGGGCGGAAUGUGCCGUGUAGCGGUGAAAUGCUUAGAUAUGGCACAGAACACCAAUUGCGAAGGCAGCUCACUAAGGCGAUACUGACGCUGAGGCACGAAAGCGUGGGGAUCGAACAGGAUUAGAAACCCUAGUAGCC
This 444-nucleotide ribosomal RNA is filed under the name uncultured bacterium. RNAcentral describes it as "partial 16S ribosomal RNA". It matches the Rfam family "Bacterial small subunit ribosomal RNA", at positions 354 to 795 of the family's 1533-position model. The record is from RNAcentral.